AUUGAACGCUGGCGGCAUGCCUUACACAUGCAAGUCGAACGGUAACAGGUCUUCGGAUGCUGACGAGUGGCGAACGGGUGGGUAAUACAUCGGAACGUGCCCGAUCGUGGGGGAUAACGAAGCGAAAGCUUUGCUAAUACCGCAUAAGAUCUACGGAUGAAAGCAGGGGACCGCUAGGCCUUGCGCGAACGGAGCGGCCGAUGGCAGAUUAGGUAGUUGGAGGGAUAAAAGCUUACCAAGCCGACGAUCUGUAGCUGGUCUGAGAGGACGACCAGCCACACUGGGACUGAGACACGGCCCAGACUCCUACGGGAGGCAGCAGUGGGGAAUUUUGGACAAUGGGCGAAAGCCUGAUCCAGCCAUGCCGCGUGCAGGAUGAAGGCCUUCGGGUUGUAAACUGCUUUUGUACGGAACGAAAAGACUCUUUCUAAUAAAGAGGGUCCAUGACGGUACCGUAAGAAUAAGCACCGGCUAACUACGUGCCAGCAGCCGCGGUAA
RNAcentral lists this ribosomal RNA (498 nucleotides) under uncultured bacterium. RNAcentral's name for it is "partial 16S ribosomal RNA". It matches the Rfam family "Bacterial small subunit ribosomal RNA", at positions 30 to 523 of the family's 1533-position model. The record is from RNAcentral.